Molecule: ribosomal RNA, 557 nt
Filed under: Bradyrhizobiaceae bacterium BvIRHM062
Lineage: Bacteria; Pseudomonadati; Pseudomonadota; Alphaproteobacteria; Hyphomicrobiales; Nitrobacteraceae
Also listed under: 2 other names
Description: bacterial SSU rRNA
Rfam family: Bacterial small subunit ribosomal RNA
Source: RNAcentral
ACGGGUGAGUAACGCGUGGGAACGUACCUUUUGGUUCGGAACAACUGAGGGAAACUUCAGCUAAUACCGGAUAAGCCCUUACGGGGAAAGAUUUAUCGCCGAAAGAUCGGCCCGCGUCUGAUUAGCUAGUUGGUGAGGUAAGAGCUCACCAAGGCGACGAUCAGUAGCUGGUCUGAGAGGAUGAUCAGCCACACUGGGACUGAGACACGGCCCAGACUCCUACGGGAGGCAGCAGUGGGGAAUAUUGGACAAUGGGCGCAAGCCUGAUCCAGCCAUGCCGCGUGAGUGAUGAAGGCCCUAGGGUUGUAAAGCUCUUUUGUGCGGGAAGAUAAUGACGGUACCGCAAGAAUAAGCCCCGGCUAACUUCGUGCCAGCAGCCGCGGUAAUACGAAGGGGGCUAGCGUUGCUCGGAAUCACUGGGCGUAAAGGGUGCGUAGGCGGGUCUUUAAGUCAGGGGUGAAAUCCUGGAGCUCAACUCCAGAACUGCCUUUGAUACUGAGGAUCUUGAGUUCGGGAGAGGUGAGUGGAACUGCGAGUGUAGAGGUGAAAUUCGUAGA